This 253-nucleotide ribosomal RNA is filed under the name uncultured bacterium. Its description in RNAcentral is "partial 16S ribosomal RNA". It matches the Rfam family "Bacterial small subunit ribosomal RNA", at positions 524 to 776 of the family's 1533-position model. The record is from RNAcentral.
UACGAAGGGGGCUAGCGUUGCUCGGAAUCACUGGGCGUAAAGGGUGCGUAGGCGGGUCUUUAAGUCAGGGGUGAAAUCCUGGAUCUCAACUCCAGAACUGCCUUUGAUACUGAGGAUCUUGAGUUCGGGAGAGGUGAGUGGAACUGCGAGUGUAGAGGUGAAAUUCGUAGAUAUUCGCAAGAACACCAGUGGCGAAGGCGGCUCACUGGCCCGAUACUGACGCUGAGGCACGAAAGCGUGGGGAGCAAACAGG